Molecule: long non-coding RNA, 787 nt
Filed under: Triticum aestivum (bread wheat)
Lineage: Eukaryota; Viridiplantae; Streptophyta; Magnoliopsida; Poales; Poaceae
Description: long non-coding RNA (TAES_LNC009730)
Source: RNAcentral
UGCAGCGGAGGAGACUCUCCGCUGCCCCUCUUCCACCACCGGCAACGUCUCCCCCACCCUCUCUGUCCAACCCAGUUUCCAGAUUUGGUUGCUGCAGGUAAGAUUCUUCUCAUUUUUUUCCUCCAAAAGUGUGAUUGCCCAGUAGAUCUAUCUAGGUUGAACAAGUUUAUGUCUAACCUGUCAUAUUUAUUCACAGAUUUUAUCUGCUUGCUUCAAAAAUGAAAUGUGGCGUUUGCUUGCUGAUAAGUUCGGUUAUGGUGUGGGCGUGUGAGCGUCUAUUACUCAAGAUGAUUUCAUAUCAUAUCAUCAAUUUCAGGAACCUUAUCUCAUCUGUCGUUGAGUUCAGAACAUAUCAUUGGCAUUGUAGCUUCAAGAGACAUGUAUGUUGCUUAUCGUUUUGCCUACUGAGCACACAAAACAAAUGUGUAUAUCAAUAUAUUUAAGUGAAACAACAUGCUCCCAUUUUUGGUCAAUCAGUGGAUCUGACUAAUACAUAAUUACAUAUAUGUGUGAGAUAUUAUUCAUGUGUUAUUUUUCAUAAUUCGAGUGCUGAUAAUGAUGGUCUCAGAUGGUUUGUGUAUUAACUUGCAUCUACAAAUACUGAGUAGAGGGUUGCCUUUUGUGUAGGAAUUUGCAGCAGGUCUGAUCCCUUGCCUUUGCUCUCUGCUUGUCCUCACUCCUUAGACCUCCCCUUUGCUUGUCACCAUACAUUUUAUUCAGAGCAGUGUCCAGAUGCAUCCCCUCUGCCUAGAUGAUGGGGAGAGGGCCUAAGCGGUAGGUGAGCUCC